AUAUGACGCGUUUCAGGUUUGAGUUCAGACCUUGGUCUGAAAUUACAUUUCACAAAGCAAGGUUUGUCCUCAGACCAGGUUUAUGUACGUCAUCAGACCCGAAAUUUACAGACUGCUCAGAUAGGAGGUUUGUAAUUUCUCAAACCUGGUUUGAGAGCUCUCAACCAAUCAGGAUGCAGCACUGGGUGGAGAUAAUUUAUGCUCGAUUGAUUUUAUCCAAAUAAUUCACCGCCAAAACAAUCUGCGAUAGUAUCUGGUCAGCCCGAUUUUAGUGCAAUCGAAAUCUCUCAAUCUCUCGAUCCUUUCCUUAAAAUCUAAAGAUGGUAGAAAUGCAGCUGAUUCAGCAUAAUGAGCUGGUGUACCUGGAUGAGGAGCUGGAGCAAUAUAUAGCAGCACAACUGGGCAGAGGCCUCUGAGAUUGGGAAAACCCGCUGGAUGAUGAGCCUUUUGUUUUAGAUUGAGGUAAUUCGAUCUAAAGGAUGCACCGUGAGGAGGCGGCAUGCCGUGUCAUAUUCAUCUGUUUGCCGAAUGGAGAGUAGUGAGGGAUGUUUCCGAAGCUGUUGUCAGAAGAAAGGGACAAGUCAUGAAGUUUCCUACAAGUACAAGUUACAACAAGGCAAAAAGUGACUACUAUUCAGAAGCAGUUUUUCCAGUACUGCAGAUUUCCAGGAGUUGCUGUUGAUGGGACACAUGUUUACAUCAGGAGCCCUGGUGGGGCAAGAGCCAGGUACUACUUCAAUAGGAAGAACAGGUACUCCUCCGAUGUUCAGGUUGUCUGUGAUUAUGCUGGGAAAAUAACUAGUAUCGUUGCAAGGUGGCCUGGACUGGUAGCAGCCACGAUGCCAGGAUCUUUUCUGAGUGUGCACUGAAUUGACAGCUUCGUGCUAGGGCAUAUGAAACAGUUGAUUCUUGGAGAUAGACUAUAGGGUAUCCAUGCCUUCCCUGCCUCAUCAGAAGCCAUUUCUUCAUUCAGAGGGUCGACCACAGAUGUGCUUUCAAGGCCAUCUGUACUAGUUCAGCAAAAGAGGAUUAGACAACCCAGCGAGGUCACUGACAGGAGGCUAUCUCAUCAAUUCAGUUCUCAAUUAACAUAAGAAAAAGAGGAUCAU
Long non-coding RNA from Strongylocentrotus purpuratus (purple sea urchin), 1109 nucleotides. RefSeq lists it as uncharacterized. The transcript is spliced from 5 exons. Lineage: Eukaryota; Metazoa; Echinodermata; Echinoidea; Camarodonta; Strongylocentrotidae. The record is from RefSeq and is a predicted model, not a curated record.